RNAcentral lists this long non-coding RNA (269 nucleotides) under Homo sapiens (human). RNAcentral describes it as "non-protein coding LINC00578:9". Lineage: Eukaryota; Metazoa; Chordata; Mammalia; Primates; Hominidae. The record is from RNAcentral.
CAUUUCACUAUCUGAAGAGCAGAAAAUGUGUUAAUAGGAGCCUGGUGAGUGGAGGAGACUGAAGAUGGAGAGAGAGCCUGGACCUCAACAUGAGCAUCUGGAGCCAUUUGGCAGCAUUAGGCUGUGACCGCUUAGAGAACCGAAAGGUGCAGAGCUUUAAAGGAUUAUGGAGUCUGAAGACCAAAUGGGAUGAUGGAGAACAGCUAUUCAGUGGUACAAAUGUAAAUGCUCCCAGGCCCGGGCAGGCACAGCACUUUGGAAGACAGGCA